AGCGGCGGACGGGUGAGUAAUGCCUGGGAAUAUGCCCUGAUGUGGGGGAUAACUAUUGGAAACGAUAGCUAAUACCGCAUAAUCUCUUCGGAGCAAAGAGGGGGACCUUCGGGCCUCUCGCGUCAGGAUUAGCCCAGGUGGGAUUAGCUUGUUGGUGAGGUAAUGGCUCACCAAGGCAACGAUCCCUAGCUGGUCUGAGAGGAUGAUCAGCCACACUGGAACUGAGACACGGUCCAGACUCCUACGGGAGGCAGCAGUGGGGAAUAUUGCACAAUGGGGGAAACCCUGAUGCAGCCAUGCCGCGUGUGUGAAGAAGGCCUUCGGGUUGUAAAGCACUUUCAGUAGGGAGGAAGGUAGUGUAGUUAACACCUGCAUUAUUUGACGUUACCUACAGAAGAAGCACCGGCUAACUCCGUGCCAGCAGCCGCGGUAAUACGGAGGGUGCGAGCGUUAAUCGGAAUUACUGGGCGUAAAGCGCAUGCAGGCGGCCUGUUAAGUCA
This 500-nucleotide ribosomal RNA is filed under the name Vibrio harveyi. RNAcentral's name for it is "bacterial SSU rRNA". It matches the Rfam family "Bacterial small subunit ribosomal RNA", at positions 94 to 590 of the family's 1533-position model. Lineage: Bacteria; Pseudomonadati; Pseudomonadota; Gammaproteobacteria; Vibrionales; Vibrionaceae. The record is from RNAcentral.